RNAcentral lists this long non-coding RNA (291 nucleotides) under Actinidia chinensis (golden kiwifruit). Its description in RNAcentral is "long non-coding RNA (ACHI_LNC003870)". Lineage: Eukaryota; Viridiplantae; Streptophyta; Magnoliopsida; Ericales; Actinidiaceae. The record is from RNAcentral.
AACAAACAUGAUAAUCUAUGACUCCACACGGCAUCAUUUUCGUCGAGCUAUACAGGUGAAACCAAGAGCGUGAGACUGGAUGCUACAAGCUAAGCUCAUUUACGAAAGGCCUCGACAAGAAUGCCACCCCGAGUCGAACACUGGGCAAAUUGGCAUAUAUACUAAAAGAAUGGAAGAUCUGUAUGAAGCAAGUCCGGACUCUGGCAUUGCUAAACGAAUUCGGGAUUUCCUAAUCUGCUCCAACUUUUGUUGUAGGCAACACAACACCACUCGAACUUCAACAAAACAGUA